Molecule: small RNA, 149 nt
Filed under: Citrobacter sedlakii
Lineage: Bacteria; Pseudomonadati; Pseudomonadota; Gammaproteobacteria; Enterobacterales; Enterobacteriaceae
Description: Leucine operon leader
Rfam family: Leucine operon leader
About the family: At least 6 amino acid operons are known to be regulated by attenuation. In each a leader sequence of 150-200 bp is found upstream of the first gene in the operon.
Source: RNAcentral
GGAGUUAAACUUAAUGAUACGUAUCGCCCGCUUUAACGGUCUACUACUACUAAACGCAUUUUCGUUGCGCGGUAGACUGGUGAGCGGCAUUCAGCAUUAAGUCAGCAUCCAGUUAGAUAAAAAACCCGCGCCGUUGCGCGGGUUUUUUU